RNAcentral lists this ribosomal RNA (639 nucleotides) under Sphaerellopsis macroconidialis. RNAcentral describes it as "partial large subunit ribosomal RNA". It matches the Rfam family "Eukaryotic large subunit ribosomal RNA", at positions 188 to 847 of the family's 3401-position model. Lineage: Eukaryota; Fungi; Ascomycota; Dothideomycetes; Pleosporales; Leptosphaeriaceae. The record is from RNAcentral.
CCUUGGAACAGGACGUCACAGAGGGUGAGAAUCCCGUACGUGGUCGCUAGCCUCCGCCGUGUAAAGCCCCUUCGACGAGUCGAGUUGUUUGGGAAUGCAGCUCUAAAUGGGAGGUAAAUUUCUUCUAAAGCUAAAUACUGGCCAGAGACCGAUAGCGCACAAGUAGAGUGAUCGAAAGAUGAAAAGCACUUUGGAAAGAGAGUCAAAUAGCACGUGAAAUUGUUGAAAGGGAAGCGCUUGCAGCCAGACUUGCCUGUAGUUGCUCAUCCGGGCUUUUGCCCGGUGCACUCUUCUACAGGCAGGCCAGCAUCAGUUUGGGCGGUUGGAUAAAGGUCUCUGUCACGUUCCUCUCUUCGGGGAGGCCAUAUAGGGGAGACGACAUACAACCAGCCUGGACUGAGGUCCGCGCAUUUGCUAGGAUGCUGGCGUAAUGGCUGUAAGCGGCCCGUCUUGAAACACGGACCAAGGAGUCUAACAUCUAUGCGAGUGUUUGGGUGUCAAGCCCGAACGCGUAAUGAAAGUGAACGGAGGUGGGAACCCUUGGGUGCACCAUCGACCGAUCCUGAUGUCUUCGGAAGGAUUUGAGUAAGAGCAUGGCUGUUGGGACCCGAAAGAUGGUGAACUAUGCUUGAAUAGGGU